UAUGACACUUAAGCUAAUCUGAACCAAUUUAGAACUAUAGGAUUCAGUUUAGAUAAGUGGAAUAGU
This 66-nucleotide microRNA precursor is filed under the name Caenorhabditis brenneri. Lineage: Eukaryota; Metazoa; Nematoda; Chromadorea; Rhabditida; Rhabditidae. The record is from RNAcentral.